ACCACCGGCGGACGGCUCAGUAACACGUCGGUAACCUACCCUCGGGAGGGGGAUAACCCCGGGAAACUGGGGCUAAUCCCCCAUAGGCCUGAGGUACUGGAAGGUCCUCAGGCCGAAAGGGGCUUUUGCCCGCCCGAGGAUGGGCCGGCGGCCGAUUAGGUAGUUGGUGGGGUAACGGCCCACCAAGCCGAAGAUCGGUACGGGCUGUGAGAGCAGGAGCCCGGAGAUGGACACUGAGACACGGGUCCAGGCCCUGCGGGGCGCAGCAGGCGCGAAACCUCCGCAAUGCGGGAAACCGCGACGGGGGGACCCCGAGUGCCGUGGCACCGCCACGGCUUUUCCGGAGUGUAAAAAGCUCCGGGAAUAAGGGCCGGGCAAGGCCGGUGGCAGCCGCCGCGGUAAUACCGGCGGCCCGAGUGGUGGCCGCUAUUAUUGGGCCUAAAGCGUCCGUAGCCGGGCCCGUAAGUCCCUGGCGAAAUCCCACGGCUCAACCGUGGGGCUUGCUGGGGAUACUGCGGGCCUUGGGACCGGGAGAGGCGGGGGGUACCCCUGGGGUAGGGGUGAAAUCCUAUAAUCCCAGGGGGACCGCCAGUGGCGAAG
This 600-nucleotide ribosomal RNA is filed under the name uncultured archaeon. RNAcentral describes it as "bacterial SSU rRNA". It matches the Rfam family "Archaeal small subunit ribosomal RNA", at positions 74 to 671 of the family's 1478-position model. The record is from RNAcentral.